CCCCUCAAGAGGAUAGGAUCCUUCGACAUCUCCUCCAGGAGAAAGAGGGGAAAAUAAAAAGACUUCAGAAAGAGCUUGCCGAGGAAAAGGCUCACAGACGGAGGCCUUGUUUGGCCCUUGCAAUGAAAAUUGCUGCCUCAGAACCGCAAUGGGGGAGGCCUGGUGCUUCAAGCGAGGAGCAUCUGUUGGCUGAACCACCAUCUUUUGAAGGCUUUGAACUGCUCGAGGACUCGCCAAGUCGUCUAGUAGAGGAGGUCCCCAAAAGUCCAGUGCCAUCAACCUCGC
Ixodes scapularis (black-legged tick) is the source of this 285-nucleotide long non-coding RNA. RefSeq lists it as uncharacterized. The transcript has 3 exons. The record is from RefSeq and is a predicted model, not a curated record. NCBI's taxonomy places the organism in Eukaryota, Metazoa, Arthropoda, Arachnida, Ixodida, Ixodidae.